AUUGAACGCUGGCGGCAUGCCUUACACAUGCAAGUCGAACGGCAGCACGGGAGCAAUCCUGGUGGCGAGUGGCGAACGGGUGAGUAAAGUAUCCGAACGUGCCCAGUCGUGGGGGAUAACGUAGCGAAAGUUAUGCUAAUACCGCAUACGAUCUAUGGAUGAAAGCGGGGGAUCGCAAGAUCUUGCGCGAUUGGAGCGGCCGAUAUCAAAUUAGGUAGUUGGUGGGGUAAAGGACCACCAAGCCGACGAUCUGUAGCUGGUCUGAGAGGACGACCAGCCACACUGGGACUGAGACCCGGCCCAGACUCCUACGGGAGGCAGCAGUGGGGAAUUUUGGACAAUGGGCGAAAGCCUGAUCCAGCCAUGCCGCGUGCAGGAUGAAGGCCUUCGGGUUGUAAACUGCUUUUGUACGGAACGAAAAGGUUUGGCCUAAUAAGCUGAGCUCAUGACGGUACCGUAAGAAUAAGCACCGGCUAACUACGUGCCAGCCGCCGCCGUAA
Molecule: ribosomal RNA, 500 nt
Filed under: uncultured bacterium
Lineage: Bacteria
Description: partial 16S ribosomal RNA
Rfam family: Bacterial small subunit ribosomal RNA
Source: RNAcentral